Long non-coding RNA from Brienomyrus brachyistius, 679 nucleotides. RefSeq lists it as uncharacterized. The record is from RefSeq and is a predicted model, not a curated record. NCBI's taxonomy places the organism in Eukaryota, Metazoa, Chordata, Actinopteri, Osteoglossiformes, Mormyridae. The transcript has 5 exons.
UCAUUGCUGCAGAAGCAUUUUAUUCAAUUCCAUUUAUUUUUAUAUAGAACCAUUCACAGCUUCAGUGUUCUUUACAUAUUUCCUUGAGGGUGAUCCGGCUGGCCGGGUCCUCAUUGCUGAGGACCCGAGUGGCUGGACCAGGCCAAGGGGACGCCCACGUAACACCUGGCUGCGGCAGAUAGACGGCCAUUUCCAGAGGAGGAAGAGGAGCACCUGGAAACUGUUCAUCGGGGACAUCCAUAUACAUUACAGACUGAGAUGAGGUGCUGCUUGUCUACCCAGCAGGAUGCUCAGCACCCUCGUUACUGCAGCACAUGACUGAUUGUUAACUGAGAGUCCAUGAGCCCCCAGUGAGCAAGCCAGAGGCGACACUGGAAAGGAAAAACUCCCUAGAAGGAAGAAACCUUAGGAGGAACCAGACUCAGAGGGAGAGCGCAUCCUCCAGGGGCUGGCAGAGGAAGUCAAAUGAACAAGGGUUGUGGGCUGUCCGGAACCUCAGAGGCUACGGGCACAAGGCAAGGAACAACCCAGGAUGCGGCACCAAUCCAUCACAGGUCGUCUAUCCCUUUAUAUAUUUAUUUAUUAUAUUUGUACUUAUGUGUAUUACCAUCUGUAUCUCAAUACAUUAUAUCGCUGUGCAUGGAUGCGUUGACAAAAAAACGAACUCCUGAGUCUUAUU